AGAGUUUGAUCCUGGCUCAGGACGAACGCUAGCGGUGUGCCUUAGGCAUGCAAGUCGAGCGGUUCGCGCUUGCGCGAACAGCGGCAGACGGCUGAAUAACACGUAGGAACGUACCUUUUAGAGAAGAAUAGCCCUUCGAAAGAUGGGUUAAUUCUACAUAAUCCCUCCGGGGCAAAGAGCGUAACUGCUCGCUGAAAGAGCGGCCUGCGUCCUAUCAGCUUGUUGGUGAGGUAAAGGCUCACCAAGGCUAAGACGGGUAGGGGGUGUGAGAGCAUGAUCCCCCAGAAUGGGACUUAGACACGGCCCAUACACCUACGGGUGGCAGCAACUAGGAAUCUUGCGCAAUGGACGAAAGUCUGACGCAGCGACACCGCAUGGAGGAUGACAGCCCUCGGGUUGUAAACUCCUCGUCUAGUCUUCAUUGAAGACUAGAGUAGUAGCACCGGCAAACUACGUGCCAGCAGCUGCGGUAAAACGUGGGGUGCAAGCGUUGUCCGGAUUUAUUGGGCGUAAAGGGUUUGUAGGCGGGCAAAUAGGUUAUUAGUUAAAGUCUUCGGCUCAACCGAAGUGAGGCUGAUAAUACCGUUUGUCUAGUUCUCGAUAGGGGGUGCUGGAACUUGUUGUGUAGGGGUGAAAUCCGUUGAUACAACAAGGAACACCAACGGCGAAGGCGGGCACCUGGGUCGAUGAAGACGCUGAGAAACGAAAGCUAGGGUAGCAAAUCGGAUUAGAGACCCGAGUAGUCCUAGCCCUAAAUGUUGUUCGUUACCUUUUUGUUCGACUCUUCGGAGUGGAAUAAGGAGGGCAGCUAACGCGUUAAACGAACCGCCUGGGAAGUAUGACCGCAAGGUUAAAACUCAAAGGAAUUGGCGGGGAGGCGCACAACCAGUGGAGCAUGUGGUUUAAUUCGACACAAAGCGAAGAACCUUACCUGGGUUUGACAUCUAGCCUUCUCAUCGCCUAGAAAUAGGUUGAUGUUCUACUUUGUAGAAAAAGCUAGACAGCUACUGCAUGGUUGUCGUCAGCUCGUGCCGUGAGGUGUUCCCUUAAGUGGGGCAACGAGCGUAACCCCUGUUCUAUGUUGGAUUUUCAUAGAAGACUGCUUUCCAAUUUGGAAGGAGGAAGGUGGGGAUGACGUCAAAUCAGCAUGGUGCUUAUGUCCAGGGCGACACACAUCCUACAAUGAGAAGGACAAAGGGUUGCUAAGCCGCGAGGCGGAGCUAAUCCCAUCAAACCUUCUCUCAGUGGGGAUUGCAGGCUGCAAUUCGCCUGCAUGAACGCGGAAUUGGUAGUAAUCGCGAAUCAGCAGGUCGCGGUGAAUACGUUCUCGCCUCCUGCACACACCGCCCGU
RNAcentral lists this ribosomal RNA (1351 nucleotides) under uncultured bacterium. RNAcentral describes it as "bacterial SSU rRNA". It matches the Rfam family "Bacterial small subunit ribosomal RNA". The record is from RNAcentral.